This 530-nucleotide long non-coding RNA is filed under the name Olea europaea subsp. europaea. Lineage: Eukaryota; Viridiplantae; Streptophyta; Magnoliopsida; Lamiales; Oleaceae. The record is from RNAcentral.
GCGAGAUUGAAAGGCCCAUCAUUUCUCCUUUCUAUCUUUUCUCAGAAAAUCAUAACCGUGCUCUUUGAUCUCUAGGACAGGCACAAUAAAAAGUAUUCUGGUUAUUUUUUGCAGAUAGAUUAUGAUGAAAAUGAAGUGCAAUGUGGAUAUAUUUUUCAUUGUUUUGAACUUGAUUAUGGAUUUUAGAGAGAACCACAAAGGUCUGUUUUUAGGGUCACUUUCAAUUUUUUAUUGUAUAUAUGUUAAUGCGUAUUCUGUGGAAUUUUAUCCUUUUUUCUUGAUUUAAUCAUUAUCUGAUGUGAAUUUCAGACAACUAGAGUGUGAAGCCCAUAAGGAAAAAGACUACUGGUACUGGACACAUGAGUUACCUCCUCCAUGUUUCCUGCAGAUUCAAGACCAACUUAAGAGAAUGUAUAAUCUUAUUAAUUUAAGUUUUUAAUUUUUGUAGUUCAUUUUUUGUUUGGAUGCUUGAGUUUGCCUUUUAUGAUGAAUAGACAAGAGGCCAAUAUUGGUUUGAAUGCUCAAAUUAA